UUUCGUUUACCUCAUGACAGGUGAUGCUGAGACGGUUUUGUCCUCGUAAGACUACUCUACUGUUUGUUAUACGAGAUAAAACAAGGUCACAAUUGAAUGAGGCUAUUUUAAGAGAGGAUUAUGGAGAAGCUGCAAAGCUGAAGUUGGCCAUAACUGGUGCUACAAAAAGGAUAUUGUUGGAGCAGCAUUGACUAUUAUGAAUAGAGCUAUAGAGGAAGAGCGAUG
Molecule: long non-coding RNA, 225 nt
Organism: Zingiber officinale
Lineage: Eukaryota; Viridiplantae; Streptophyta; Magnoliopsida; Zingiberales; Zingiberaceae
Exons: 3
Source: RefSeq, a predicted model, not a curated record